GGAUUAUAUAACAUCAAUCCUCUUGACCUCGAAAUUUCCUUAUUCAAAUGGCAAAGCGCCCACAAAGGAAGAAACAGGAGACGAGUGAGGGAAAUAGAAAGAAGUGUUGGAGAAGCCUCCCUGCCUCCUCCAUAGGAGAACAGGAUUUCUAGGUCUUGGUGGGUUUUCUUCAACGAUUUCAACAAUCAAAUCUCUUUUGGAUCAAUUCGAUUAGUGUUUGAAUGAUUUUCAUCACAUUGAUGUAAUUUUUGCUUUCAUUGAUUUUGGAUUCAUGUCUUUGAUAAGAUUUGUAAUUUUGAACGUGGUUUCGGCGUAGAUCCAUGGGAGAAUUGCGGAAUUGAAAGGAUUUACUUCCUGGGUUUGUGUGAUUGGUUUCUCUUUAUCUGUUGAUGUAUCUUGUUAUUAUUAUUGAAGAGGAGGAUCGGCUUGUGAACUUGCCCAAUUCUUUUCUGGGUGUUCUCAGGCCAUUGGAACUAUCCUUUGAACAAAAGGCCUUUUCAUUUUGUAUCCCUAGGGAUAGAUGGGAUAAGGAGUUCUUCAAGUUGCAGGGUGGCUAAUUGUUACUUCGUCGACUUCACAAAGUUCUUGGUACUAGAAUUUUGAUUGAAUUGGAAUUUUUUAGAUGGGUUCUACACAAGGGUCUACAUUGUCGACUAAUAUGGCAGAUUUAGUUGAUGGUUCACCUACUCGACGACAGUUUUCUUACUUCGAUACUAUGCCUGUUUAUGUUAAGGAGCUCAUCGCUGGUGGAGCUGCAGGAGGAAUUGCCAAGACUGCUGUUGCACCCCUUGAAAGGACUAAAAUACUCUUGCAGACAAGAACUGAAGGUUUUCAAUCUCUUGGGGUGUUUCAGUCCUUGAAGAAAUUAUUAAAGCAUGAGGGAAUUCUUGGCUUUUAUAAGGGAAAUGGAGCUAGUGUUAUUCGGAUUGUUCCUUAUGCGGCCUUACAUUUCAUGACAUAUGAGCGGUAUCGUGGUUGGAUCUUGAAUAAUUGUCCUGCUUUAGGCUCAGGACCUGUUAUAGAUUUAUUAGCUGGUUCAGCGGCUGGAGGAACAGCAGUUUUGUGCACCUAUCCCUUAGAUUUGGCUCGUACUAAACUUGCUUAUCAGGUCCUGGACAGAAGUGGAAGUUUCAGAUGUGGCAUAAAAAGUGUAUGUGCUCAACCUGCUUAUGGUGGCCUAAAAGAUGUACUUACAAGUGUUUACAAGGAAGGGGGAACACGUGCACUGUAUCGAGGAGUAGGUCCUACACUCAUCGGGAUCCUUCCUUAUGCUGGUUUGAAGUUCUAUGUUUAUGAGGAGCUUAAGAGGCACAUUCCUGAAGAGCAUCAAAAGUCCAUUAUGAUGCGUCUUUCAUGUGGAGCUCUAGCUGGGUUAUUUGGGCAGACCUUCACAUACCCCUUAGAUGUUGUUAGGAGACAGAUGCAGGUUGAAAAUUUGCAACCUUCAAUUCAAGGUCAUGUUAGAUACAGGAGCACGUUGGAUGGGCUGUCAACUAUAGUCCGCAAUCAAGGAUGGAGACAGUUAUUUGCAGGCCUGAGCAUUAAUUACAUCAAGGUAAUGCCUAUGCCAGCUUCAAUAGCUUACUGUUUUUUUCAGUUAUUAUUUAUGUAUUUAUGUCUACCAAUAAAUUAAUAUUAGUAAUUGUUUCGUGUGUGAUUGUUGAGACUUUAGAUAUAAUGACAAGGUUUCCCUUUAGGUGCUAUCAAUUGAUAAUAUUCUCAUCUAAUUUGGAAUUCUUUAGGAAUAAAUUGACCCUGGAUGAUCACAGGUCUAUGAAAUAUGAGAUGUAUUAGGAAGCUAACAAUUCAUGAGAAGAUUUUUUUUUAUGAUAUAAUAUUGUGUUCCUCAAAUCUAGAGACAUUAUAAGAGUGGGUGUUUUAUAAUCAUGUGAUUGUUUUAUAAUCACAAAUCUAUGGAUUCACUAAUGCUGACAAAGUUUCACUACUCAUUUGUCAGAUUGUUCCCUCUGUGGCUAUUGGCUUUACUGCAUAUGACAUGAUGAAGAUUUGGCUUCGAAUUCCACCCCGACAGAAGUCCCAAUCUGUAUCGACUGGAUAAAUCUCUGACCAAUUAUUAGCACACAGUAGACCGUGACAACUUAUAUUCAUUAGUAAUGCCUUAACAUUUGACGUGCAUAUGAUAUCAAAGGGCAUAGGCCCAUCACAAUUAUGUACUUGUGAUUAUCAAAAUGUCAAUUAGGCAGAAUUAUUUUGCGCAGAUCAAUUUAUGUGAACACUUGUAAUGGCUUUGCUACUUGACCAGUGAUAGUAAAACCUUAAAAGUUGGUUAGUUACAGUUAAAA
RNAcentral lists this unclassified non-coding RNA (2303 nucleotides) under Hevea brasiliensis (rubber tree). The record is from RNAcentral. Lineage: Eukaryota; Viridiplantae; Streptophyta; Magnoliopsida; Malpighiales; Euphorbiaceae.